UGUUGGGUUAAGUCCCGCAACGAGCGCAACCCUUGUUCCUAGUUGCCAGCAUUGAGUCGGGCACUCUAGGGAGACUGCCGGUGACAAACCGGAGGAAGGUGAGGAUGACGUCAAGUCAGCAUGCCCCUUACGCUCUGGGCUACACACGUGCUACAAUGGCGCGGACAAAGGGUCGCGAGCGCGCGAGCGUGAGCCAAUCCCAAAAACCGCGUCUCAGUUCAGAUCGCAGGCUGCAACUCGCCUGCGUGAAGGCGGAAUCGCUAGUAAUCGCAGAUCAGCAUGCUGCGGUGAAUACGUUCCCGGGCCUUGUACACACCGCCCGUCACACCAUGGGAGCUGGCCAUGCCCGAAGUCGGAGCACCCGCCGAAGGCAGGGCUGGUGACUGGGGUGAAGUCGUAACAAGGUAGCCGUACCGGAAGGUGCGGCUGGAUCACCUCCUUU
Molecule: ribosomal RNA, 442 nt
Filed under: uncultured cyanobacterium
Lineage: Bacteria; Bacillati; Cyanobacteriota
Description: bacterial SSU rRNA
Rfam family: Bacterial small subunit ribosomal RNA
Source: RNAcentral